RNAcentral lists this ribosomal RNA (2916 nucleotides) under Escherichia coli. RNAcentral describes it as "23S ribosomal RNA". It matches the Rfam family "Bacterial large subunit ribosomal RNA". Lineage: Bacteria; Pseudomonadati; Pseudomonadota; Gammaproteobacteria; Enterobacterales; Enterobacteriaceae. The record is from RNAcentral.
GGUUAAGCGACUAAGCGUACACGGUGGAUGCCCUGGCAGUCAGAGGCGAUGAAGGACGUGCUAAUCUGCGAUAAGCGUCGGUGAGGUGAUAUGAACCGUUAUAACCGGCGAUUUCCGAAUGGGGAAACCCAGUGUGUUUCGACACACUAUCAUUAACUGAAUCCAUAGGUUAAUGAGGCGAACCGGGGGAACUGAAACAUCUAAGUACCCCGAGGAAAAGAAAUCAACCGAGAUUCCCCCAGUAGCGGCGAGCGAACGGGGAGGAGCCCAGAGCCUGAAUCAGUGUGUGUGUUAGUGGAAGCGUCUGGAAAGGCGCGCGAUACAGGGUGACAGCCCCGUACACAAAAAUGCACAUAUUGUGAGCUCGAUGAGUAGGGCGGGACACGUGGUAUCCUGUCUGAAUAUGGGGGGACCAUCCUCCAAGGCUAAAUACUCCUGACUGACCGAUAGUGAACCAGUACCGUGAGGGAAAGGCGAAAAGAACCCCGGCGAGGGGAGUGAAAAAGAACCUGAAACCGUGUACGUACAAGCAGUGGGAGCCUCUUUAUGGGGUGACUGCGUACCUUUUGUAUAAUGGGUCAGCGACUUAUAUUCUGUAGCAAGGUUAACCGAAUAGGGGAGCCGAAGGGAAACCGAGUCUUAACUGGGCGUUAAGUUGCAGGGUAUAGACCCGAAACCCGGUGAUCUAGCCAUGGGCAGGUUGAAGGUUGGGUAACACUAACUGGAGGACCGAACCGACUAAUGUUGAAAAAUUAGCGGAUGACUUGUGGCUGGGGGUGAAAGGCCAAUCAAACCGGGAGAUAGCUGGUUCUCCCCGAAAGCUAUUUAGGUAGCGCCUCGUGAAUUCAUCUCCGGGGGUAGAGCACUGUUUCGGCAAGGGGGUCAUCCCGACUUACCAACCCGAUGCAAACUGCGAAUACCGGAGAAUGUUAUCACGGGAGACACACGGCGGGUGCUAACGUCCGUCGUGAAGAGGGAAACAACCCAGACCGCCAGCUAAGGUCCCAAAGUCAUGGUUAAGUGGGAAACGAUGUGGGAAGGCCCAGACAGCCAGGAUGUUGGCUUAGAAGCAGCCAUCAUUUAAAGAAAGCGUAAUAGCUCACUGGUCGAGUCGGCCUGCGCGGAAGAUGUAACGGGGCUAAACCAUGCACCGAAGCUGCGGCAGCGACACUAUGUGUUGUUGGGUAGGGGAGCGUUCUGUAAGCCUGUGAAGGUGGCCUGUGAGGGUUGCUGGAGGUAUCAGAAGUGCGAAUGCUGACAUAAGUAACGAUAAAGCGGGUGAAAAGCCCGCUCGCCGGAAGACCAAGGGUUCCUGUCCAACGUUAAUCGGGGCAGGGUGAGUCGACCCCUAAGGCGAGGCCGAAAGGCGUAGUCGAUGGGAAACAGGUUAAUAUUCCUGUACUUGGUGUUACUGCGAAGGGGGGACGGAGAAGGCUAUGUUGGCCGGGCGACGGUUGUCCCGGUUUAAGCGUGUAGGCUGGUUUUCCAGGCAAAUCCGGAAAACCAAGGCUGAGGCGUGAUGACGAGGCACUACGGUGCUGAAGCGACAAAUGCCCUGCUUCCAGGAAAAGCCUCUAAGCAUCAGGUAACAUCAAAUCGUACCCCAAACCGACACAGGUGGUCAGGUAGAGAAUACCAAGGCGCUUGAGAGAACUCGGGUGAAGGAACUAGGCAAAAUGGUGCCGUAACUUCGGGAGAAGGCACGCUGAUAUGUAGGUGAAGCGACUUGCUCGUGGAGCUGAAAUCAGUCGAAGAUACCAGCUGGCUGCAACUGUUUAUUAAAAACACAGCACUGUGCAAACACGAAAGUGGACGUAUACGGUGUGACGCCUGCCCGGUGCCGGAAGGUUAAUUGAUGGGGUUAGCGGUAACGCGAAGCUCUUGAUCGAAGCCCCGGUAAACGGCGGCCGUAACUAUAACGGUCCUAAGGUAGCGAAAUUCCUUGUCGGGUAAGUUCCGACCUGCACGAAUGGCGUAAUGAUGGCCAGGCUGUCUCCACCCGAGACUCAGUGAAAUUGAACUCGCUGUGAAGAUGCAGUGUACCCGCGGCAAGACGGAAAGACCCCGUGAACCUUUACUAUAGCUUGACACUGAACAUUGAGCCUUGAUGUGUAGGAUAGGUGGGAGGCUUUGAAGUGUGGACGCCAGUCUGCAUGGAGCCGACCUUGAAAUACCACCCUUUAAUGUUUGAUGUUCUAACGUUGGCCCGUAAUCCGGGUUGCGGACAGUGUCUGGUGGGUAGUUUGACUGGGGCGGUCUCCUCCUAAAGAGUAACGGAGGAGCACGAAGGUUGGCUAAUCCUGGUCGGACAUCAGGAGGUUAGUGCAAUGGCAUAAGCCAGCUUGACUGCGAGCGUGACGGCGCGAGCAGGUGCGAAAGCAGGUCAUAGUGAUCCGGUGGUUCUGAAUGGAAGGGCCAUCGCUCAACGGAUAAAAGGUACUCCGGGGAUAACAGGCUGAUACCGCCCAAGAGUUCAUAUCGACGGCGGUGUUUGGCACCUCGAUGUCGGCUCAUCACAUCCUGGGGCUGAAGUAGGUCCCAAGGGUAUGGCUGUUCGCCAUUUAAAGUGGUACGCGAGCUGGGUUUAGAACGUCGUGAGACAGUUCGGUCCCUAUCUGCCGUGGGCGCUGGAGAACUGAGGGGGGCUGCUCCUAGUACGAGAGGACCGGAGUGGACGCAUCACUGGUGUUCGGGUUGUCAUGCCAAUGGCACUGCCCGGUAGCUAAAUGCGGAAGAGAUAAGUGCUGAAAGCAUCUAAGCACGAAACUUGCCCCGAGAUGAGUUCUCCCUGAGACUUAGAGUCUCCUGAAGGAACGUUGAAGACGACGACGUUGAUAGGCCGGGUGUGUAAGCGCAGCGAUGCGUUGAGCUAACCGGUACUAAUGAACCGUGAGGCUUAACCUUACAACGCCGAAG